This 2292-nucleotide long non-coding RNA is filed under the name Nicotiana tabacum (common tobacco). RNAcentral describes it as "long non-coding RNA (NTAB_LNC007480)". Lineage: Eukaryota; Viridiplantae; Streptophyta; Magnoliopsida; Solanales; Solanaceae. The record is from RNAcentral.
AAUGACAAUCAGAAGUUGGAUUACCUCCAUCUUUGCGAAACCAAAAGGUUUCGUUGUUGACAACAAAAAGAGUCUUGAAUAUAAAGUCAAAUGAAAAUGAAUAACGACAUUCGGAAUUAGGAUCUCAAUUGCAAGAACAAGUGCAGCAAGUGCCACGGAAUUCCACCUCUUCAGCAGCAUAAGGAGUACAUGAACAAGUGCAACAAGCGAAUAUGAAUUCCAUCACUCCUGCAUCACAGGGAGUACAUGAACGAUCUGAUGAUUCUACCAAUCAUGAAGCAAUUGAACAAAUUGAGGAACAAGGCAAAUAUAUAUAAAUUUUAAUCAUAAAAUUAACUAAAAAUAGUGAUUAAUGAUUAUCUUUGCUUUGUACUAUUGCAGGCCCCUCCUCGCCAAAAAGAAAAAGAGGUCGUACUCAAAUGCCAAGUGUUCAUGGUAGAAAGGAGCGUAAAAUAAUCAUUCUAAAUGAGUAUAAUCAACCCGUUGGUCCUACUAAAGAAGUUGUUAAAGAGUUGGGUAGCUUCCUCGGCACAUUGGCAAGGAGUGGGACUUUUUGUCCUCUUAAUGUAUUUAAUUGGAGGAAACUACACACGAAAGAUGAUAUGUGGAAAUAUAUCAAGGUAUGAAGUUCUCAAUGUCCAAUAAAUAUGGAUGGUAUUUCUUAUUUCUUACACUAACCCAAUUGCACUAAAUUUGUAGGAAAAAUAUGACAUUCCUGACGAGGCGAAACAAUGGGUUUUUGAAUCAGUUUGUAGUACUUGGAGAAAGUAUAAGAGUCAAUUGAAGACAAACCACUUCACAGCCUAUGCGCAUGAUGAGCUUCGAAUGGAAAAUAGGACAGUAGAUGUUUCGAAAUCUCACUUUAAGGAUUUUCUUAAAUAUUGGAACUCCGAUCCUCACAAGGUAAUUACAUUCGGAAUACCUUUUGUUCACACUCUGUAAACUAGAGAUAAAAAAGCUCAACUCUCUGCAUUAGUUUAAAGGGCAUGCUUCAUUUAAUACAUUUGGGGGCGGGAGAGUACAGUUAAUGAAAUAUAGGGGGGUUGAAAAUCGACUAUCUUUAUGUUGUUCAAGACAGCUUUACUUUUCCUGAGUAGGCAAAUUGAAUGUAGUGGCUAUGCUUUAAUGUGAUAAUAAGGAACUGAAACUAGUUCAGAUUUAUGGUCCCUUUUUGAAACAAGGGAAAACAAGAGGAAAAGAGUAACGAGGGUUAUGAAUUCAAAAGUAGCUAAGCAAAUGUUGACUCGUUUAUUUGGAGAAAAUGUCCUAAACCAAAUACAGAAAAUCGAAAUAAGUUGAAGUGUCCGCACACUGCUGGCAGAACACCUUUUGCUCUAAUUCGCGAGGUUUGAUGUUUUAUUUUUCUUAUUUAUUUAUUUUUAAAUUAUGAAGUUGCUAACUUUAUAUGGAAAGAUUGUUAUACCUGAUUUCAUGUAGCUAGGAAAAAAAAAAGAAAAUCUCUGAUACUUCAGAUACUCUAUCAAGUAAGGACAUCUUUGUGGCUACAAGAAAAAGAAAACUUAGCCGAGUAUACAAAAGCGCAUACGACAAUACGAUUAGUAAAAUUGUACGAAAUUUCUAAUUUAAAGUUUGUCGUGAUUAUAAAAUUAGAAAUUUCUAAUUUUAGUUACUUAAACUCUAUUCUCUCACAUUUGGUUUGUAGGCUGAAAUGGAGAGAAUACAAUCAACUCGGGAAAGUGAAGAUGGCAGUCAUUCAGUUGACGCUUAUGCAUCAGUCAUGGGACCUGAACAUCCAGGUCGCGUGAGAUUGUAUGGACGAGGGGUUACCAAGACUGUGUUAAAAGGGCAAAAAGGGAAUCUUGGAUCUUCUUUAGAUGCUACUGAUGAGAGGAUGCAACAGAAAAUGGAGGAAAUGGAAGAGAUGUUGCAACAAAGAAUGCAUGAAAAGUUGAACGAACAAAAGGAUGCUAUGGAACAAAAUAUUACAAUGAACGUCAUCGCACGACUUCAGCGUCUGAACCCAGAUUUGUGACUUGAUCCUGACAUGUUAAGGUUCAGUGCACGUUCACCUGUAGAAGCUUUCUCUGCACAACAAGCUGCUGUUCAACUAAACAAUCGACCAUCUGCUGGUAGUAACAAUCAAGGUCAAUACGUACCAAUUUAAUGUUUACAGCCCUUGUCCAUGAAUUACUCAUAAACAGAAGCUAUGAACUAUAGACUCGCUCUGUGUGUGUGUGAAGACGUUUUAGCUGAAAGGCAUGUGUAAAACUUGAUUUAAGAAAUUGGUGUGAGUGUGGGGUGGGGGCGCAAACUUUUUAGCUGAAAGGCUAG